CGGGGUGUAGCGCAGCUUGGUAGCGCAUCUGCUUUGGGAGCAGAGGGUCGCAGGUUCAAAUCCUGUCACCCCGA
Molecule: transfer RNA, 74 nt
Organism: Actinomyces sp. S6-Spd3
Lineage: Bacteria; Bacillati; Actinomycetota; Actinomycetes; Actinomycetales; Actinomycetaceae
Rfam family: tRNA
About the family: Transfer RNA (tRNA) molecules are approximately 80 nucleotides in length. Their secondary structure includes four short double-helical elements and three loops (D, anti-codon, and T loops).
Source: Rfam